This 490-nucleotide ribosomal RNA is filed under the name uncultured bacterium. RNAcentral's name for it is "partial 16S ribosomal RNA". It matches the Rfam family "Bacterial small subunit ribosomal RNA", at positions 29 to 507 of the family's 1533-position model. The record is from RNAcentral.
AUUGAACGCUGGCGGCAGGCCUAACACAUGCAAGUCGAACGGUAACAGGAAGAAUCUUGCUUCUUUGCUGACGAGUGGCGGACGGGUGAGUCAUGUCUGGGCUACUGCCUGCUGGAGGGGGAUAACUACUGGAAACGGUUGCUACUACCGCAUAACGUCUCUAGACCAAAGUGGGCGUCCUUCGUUCCUCUUGCCAUCGUCUGUGCCCAGAUGGGAUUAGCUAGUUGGUGGGGUAACGUCUCACAUAGGCGACGAUCCCUAGCUGGUCUGAGAGGAGGACAAGCAAAACGGGAACGGAGAAACGGACAAGAGUCCUACGGGAGGAAGCAGAGGGGAAUAUGGCACAAUGGGGGAAAGCCGGAUGCAGCAAGGCGGGGUGGAGGAAGAAGGCGUAGGGGUGGUAAAGUAAUUUCAGCGGGGAGGAAGGGAGUAAAGAUAAAACCUUAGCACAGUGACGUUACCCGAAGAAGAAGCAACGGCUAACUACGUG